RNAcentral lists this ribosomal RNA (410 nucleotides) under uncultured eukaryote. RNAcentral's name for it is "SSU rRNA". It matches the Rfam family "Eukaryotic small subunit ribosomal RNA", at positions 587 to 972 of the family's 1831-position model. The record is from RNAcentral.
AGCUCCACUAGCGUAUAUUAAAGCUGCUGCGGUUAAAAAGCUCGUAGUUAGCUCUCUGUCCCGGACCGGCGGAGGUUAAACCCUGAGCGGCACCUUCCGUCCGGCCUCCGAGCUAUAAACCGUGUGCUGCUUUACGCGUAACGCUCGGGAUGCCCUUCACCGGGUGUCCCUUGCGGGCCACAGUUCCACUUUGAACAAAUAAGAGUGCUCAGAGCAGGCAAAGUCCCAUGCCUGAAUGGUGGUGCAUAGAAUGGAGAAAGAGGUCCUCGGCUCUAUUUUAUUGGUUUUCUGAGCCAGAGGAAAUGAUUAAUAGGGACAGACGGGGGCAUUCGUACUGCGACGAUAGAGGUGAAAUUCUUAGACCGUCGCAUGACGAACCACUGCGAAAGCAUCUGCCAAGGAUGUUUUCA